GACGAACGCUGGCGGCGUGCUUAACACAUGCAAGUCGAACGGGUCUGCCCUGUUUUUUGCGGGGUGGGUCAGUGGCGAACGGGUGAGUAACACGUUAGUAACCUGCCCCUCACUUCUGGAUAACCGCUUGAAAGGGUGGCUAAUACGGGGUGUUCUGGCUGUGCCGCAUGGUGUGGCUGGGAAAGAUUCACUUUUGUGGUGUUUUGGCGGGUGAUGGGCUCGCGGCCUAUCAGCUUGUUGGUGGGGUGAUGGCCUGCCAAGGCUGUGACGGGUAGCCGGCAUGGGAGGGUGGGCGGUCCUACUGGGGCUGAGAUGCGGCGCAGACUACGGGGGGCGGCAGCAGUGGGGGGUAUAGAACGAUGGGCGGAAGCCUGAUGCAGCGACGUCGCGGGAGGGAUGGCGGCCUUCGGGUUGUGAACCUCUUUCGCCGGUGAAGAAGGUCCUGCUAUUUGUGGUGGGGUUGACGGUAGCCGGGUUAUGAAGCGCCGGCUAACUACGUG
RNAcentral lists this ribosomal RNA (500 nucleotides) under uncultured bacterium. RNAcentral's name for it is "partial 16S ribosomal RNA". It matches the Rfam family "Bacterial small subunit ribosomal RNA", at positions 28 to 507 of the family's 1533-position model. The record is from RNAcentral.